Molecule: ribosomal RNA, 497 nt
Filed under: uncultured bacterium
Lineage: Bacteria
Description: partial 16S ribosomal RNA
Rfam family: Bacterial small subunit ribosomal RNA
Source: RNAcentral
GAUGAACGCUGGCGGCGUGCCUAAUACAUGCAAGUCGAGCGAACGGACGAGAAGCUUGCUUCUCUGAUGUUAGCGGCGGACGGGUGAGUAACACGUGGAUAACCUACCUAUAAGACUGGGAUAACUUCGGGAAACCGGAGCUAAUACCGGAUAAUAUUUUGAACCGCAUGGUUCAAAAGUGAAAGACGGUCUUGCUGUCACUUAUAGAUGGAUCCGCGCUGCAUUAGCUAGUUGGUAAGGUAACGGCUUACCAAGGCAACGAUGCAUAGCCGACCUGAGAGGGUGAUCGGCCACACUGGAACUGAGACACGGUCCAGACUCCUACGGGAGGCAGCAGUAGGGAAUCUUGCGCAAAGGGCGAAAGCCUGACGGAGCAACGCCGCGUGAGUGAUGAAGGUCUUCGGAUUGUAAAACUCUUUUAUUAGGGAAGAACAUAUGUGUAAGUAACUGUGCACGUCUUGACGGUACCUAAUCAGAAAGCCACGGCUAACUACGUG